Pelobates cultripes (western spadefoot toad) is the source of this 133-nucleotide non-coding RNA. The record is from the annotation of a GenBank genome assembly. NCBI's taxonomy places the organism in Eukaryota, Metazoa, Chordata, Amphibia, Anura, Pelobatidae.
ACCGAGGUCCCAAUGCGUGUGUGUGUGUGUGUGUGUAUAGAAUAUAUAUAUAUAUAUAUAUAUAUAUAUAUAUAUACAUACACACACACACACACACAUACAUAUACACACACACACGCAGUGGGACCUCGGU